UUGAGUUGUAUAUAUAAGUUGAAAGGCUCACGUAUGGUUCUGAGGGGAGAAAGGGGCAGUGAUGCCCCCGACUUACCCGAC
Molecule: unclassified non-coding RNA, 81 nt
Filed under: Aneurinibacillus thermoaerophilus
Lineage: Bacteria; Bacillati; Bacillota; Bacilli; Caryophanales; Paenibacillaceae
Source: RNAcentral